CUCAGAUUGAACGCUGGCGGCAGGCCUAACACAUGCAAGUCGAACGGUAACAGGAAGCAGCUUGCUGCUUGCUGACGAGUGGCGGACGGGUGAGUAAUGUCUGGGAAACUGCCUGAUGAGGGGGAUAACUACUGGAAACGGUAGCUAAUACCGCAUAACGUCGCAAGACCAAAGAGGGGGACCUUCGGGCCUCUUGCCAUCAGAUGUGCCCAGAUGGGAUUAGCUUGUUGGUGGGGUAACGGCUCACCAAGGCGACGAUCCCUAGCUGGUCUGAGAGGAUGACCAGCCACACUGGAACUGAGACACGGUCCAGACUCCUACGGGAGGCAGCAGUGGGGAAUAUUGCACAAUGGGCGCAAGCCUGAUGCAGCCAUGCCGCGUGUAUGAAGAAGGCCUUCGGGUUGUAAAGUACUUUCAGCGGGGAGGAAGGUGUUGUGGUUAAUAACCACAGCAAUUGACGUUACCCGCAGAAGAAGCACCGGCUAACUCCGUGCCAGCCGCGGC
This 504-nucleotide ribosomal RNA is filed under the name uncultured bacterium. RNAcentral's name for it is "bacterial SSU rRNA". It matches the Rfam family "Bacterial small subunit ribosomal RNA", at positions 23 to 518 of the family's 1533-position model. The record is from RNAcentral.